AAAGAACUGUCAACCAACGACAAAGAAAUUGUUUACUUGAUGCGUCAAGAGACAUGAGUCCUCGCCUUCCCAAAUCCUAUAUUUCAACCAACGAAAGCUUUUUCUUUCUAAAUUCUAUAUUCCGCCUCAUUUCUCCUUUCUCUCCGGAGAGAUAAUUUCGAAACGUUUUUAAUUAUUGUGUUCAAUCUUUGUUUGGUCGGCAUCUAAUCUCCGAUAACGAUCAUAUACUUAGUUUUUCAGAGAUCAGGAUGGCGAGGAGUAGAUCGUCUUCAUCGUCGAGCAAAUGGAGGUAUUGUAAUCCUUCGUAUUACCUGAAGAGACCGAAACGCUUGGCUUUGCUUUUCAUAGCCUUUGUUUGUGCCACUUUGCUCGUGUGGGAUCGCCAAACUCUCGUCAGAGAACACGAGGUGGAGAUUUCCAAGUUGAAUGAAGAAGUGAAUCAAUUAAAAACAACGCUAGAAGAAUUAAAGAAUAUUCAUGGAGAUUCAAUUAAAUUGAUUACUAGUAAAUCUAGCAAGCCUUCCCAAAAGGCUAUUCUUGAUGAUCCUAUUGCCAUUCAGCGAAGGGAGAAAGUAAAAGAAGCUAUGAUUCAUGCAUGGAGUUCAUAUGAAAAGUAUGCAUGGGGCCAUGACGAACUUCAACCACAGACGAAGAAUGGUGUUGAUAGCUUUGGUGGUCUUGGGGCAACUCUAAUUGACUCUCUUGACACAUUAUUUAUAAUGGGUUUGGAUGAGCAGUUUCGAAGAGCUAGAGAGUGGGUUGCAAA
RNAcentral lists this unclassified non-coding RNA (766 nucleotides) under Hevea brasiliensis (rubber tree). The record is from RNAcentral. Lineage: Eukaryota; Viridiplantae; Streptophyta; Magnoliopsida; Malpighiales; Euphorbiaceae.